Molecule: ribosomal RNA, 465 nt
Filed under: uncultured bacterium
Lineage: Bacteria
Description: partial 16S ribosomal RNA
Rfam family: Bacterial small subunit ribosomal RNA
Source: RNAcentral
CCUACGGGAGGCAGCAGUGGGGAAUAUUGCGCAAUGGGCGAAAGCCUGACGCAGCGACGCCGCGUGAGGGAUGAAGGUCUUCGGAUCGUAAACCUCUGUCAGCAGGGAAGAACGGUCACUGUGCUAAUCAGCAGUGAAUUGACGGUACCUGCAAAGGAAGCACCGGCUAACUCCGUGCCAGCAGCCGCGGUAAUACGGAGGGUGCGAGCGUUAAUCGGAAUUACUGGGCGUAAAGCGCUCGUAGGCGGUAUGUCAAGUCAAGGGUGAAAUCCCCGCGCUCAACGUGGGAACUGCCUUUGAAACGGGCAAACUGGAGUGUGUGAGAGGAUAGUGGAAUUCCAGGUGUAGGAGUGAAAUGCGUAGAUAUCUGGAGGAACAUCAGUGGCGAAGGCGACUAUCUGGCACAUAACUGACGCUGAGGAGCGAAAGCGUGGGUAGCAAACAGGAUUAGAUACCCGGGUAGUC